This 4281-nucleotide long non-coding RNA is filed under the name Homo sapiens (human). RNAcentral describes it as "HSALNT0163167". Lineage: Eukaryota; Metazoa; Chordata; Mammalia; Primates; Hominidae. The record is from RNAcentral.
CUGGAUGUCAAAAGGAAUACACAAGCGGCUGGACGUUGAGGGGACGUCAAGGGGAGCAUGCCAGUGGAAGGACACAGGACAGACGCCGGCAGGCCAUCGACCAGUGGCCAGCAGAAGGAGGCGAGUUUGGCCGGAGAGAUUGGAGGAGAGCCUGGGCCGCUGAGCGGCCAGACUCCACAGGAAAACCAUCUACCUUCUGGCUCCCCCAUCUGCUGAGAGCUACUUCAACUCAAUAAAAUCUUGCUCUCAUUCCCCAAGCCCACAUGUGAUCCAAUUCUUCCGGUACAUCAAGGCAAGAAAUCCCAGGAUACAAAAAGCCCUCUGUCCUUGAGAUAAGGAAGGGGGUCUAAUUGAGUUGACUGACACAAGCCGAGCUAACUAACACAAGCCGCCUACAGACGGCUAAACUAAAAGAGCACCCUGUAACACACGCCCAUUGAGGCGUCAGCUUUAAACUUUCACCCCUAGACAGUGUUGUGGGGCCGGAGUCCCACAGCCUGCCCAGCUGUAUGCUCCCUUAGAGGUUUGAGCAGCAGAGCACGGAAGAAGCGAGCCACACCCCCAUCACAUGCCCUGUGAGGGGGACAAGGGAACAUUUCCUGUUUCAUCAUUAUUCUUAUUUUACAGAAGAAGCAGUAAAUGUCAUUCCCACGUCAUCCUGUAAGUAAGGUCAGAUUCCGUCUUGGUAAGUCUGACGCCUAAAUACCUGACGUGUGACAGCAAAUGCCUGUUCCCAUGGAGCUGCUGCUUCUGAGAAAGCUUGAAACAGACAAAGAAUAAGGUAGAAAUGACCUCCUCACUAGAGAUGAAAAGAAGCUGUCCUGGUGAGGAAAUUGGAUCCCAGCUUUUGCCGCUAAGAUUCUUCUCUUCUGCCUCUGGUUUUCUUUAUUGUUCACCCCCAGAAGCAAUCGCUCUCUCACAAGGCAACACACGCAAUAGAGUGAACAGUGAUUCUACAGUCUGAUUCUGGAAAAGGCGACCACAGUGGAAAGAGUGAUCCACACAAGUAUAGGGCCUCCUGAUUAAAACACUAAGAUUUCAUCUCACGCUGUGCCUUUAUACUGUUGAGAUACUAAAGAGGACACUAAAGAUCAAAGUGCUACUUUACAACAUUUUGAAGAAAACAACUGCUACCUGUGUAUUAGUUUGUGCAGAUGUGUUACACAGCUUAGCUGUGUCUGUACCAGUUUAUUAGAAUCAAAGUAUUUUUAAAGUACCUAAGGCCAGGCACAGUGGCUCACACCUGUAAUCCCAGCACUUUGGGAGGCUGAGGCAAGUGGAUCACUUGAGAUCAGGAAUUCAAGACCAGCCUGGCCAACAUGGUGAAACCCCAUCUCUACUAAAAAUACAAAAAUUAGCCAGGCAUGGUGUCACAUGCCUGUAAUCCCAGUGACUCAAGAGGCUGAGGUAUGAGAAUCAAUCGUUUGAACUCAGAAGGAGAGGUUGCAGUGAGUGGAGAUAGCAACACUGUACUCCAGCCUGGGUGACAGAGUGAGAUCCAGUCUCAAAAAAAAAAAAAAAAAAAAAAAAAGUACCUAAAACUUGUGAUAUGGUUUGGCCUUGUCCCCACCCAAAUCUCAUAUUGAAUUGAAUUAUGGGGAGAGGUCUUUCCUGCGCUGUUCUUAUGAUAGUGAAUGAGUUUCAUGAGAUCUGAUGGUUUUAAAAAUGGGAGUUUCCCUGCACAAGCUCUCUUUUGUUGCCUGCUGCCAUCCACGUAAGAUGUGACUUGCUCCUCUUUACCUUCCACCAUGAUUUUGAGGCCUCCCCAGUCCUGUGGAACUGUAAGUUCAAUAAACCUCUUUCUUUUGUAAAUUGUCCAGUCUCGGGUAUGUCUUUAUCAGCAGCAUGAAAACAGAGUAAUACAGCAUGUGAGAUACAAUGCUGAGCACUGAAGAAACAAGGAUGGCACAGCCCCUGACUUCCAGAAGCUCACACUUUAGAAAAGCAAGUGUAUUAAUAACUACUUAUGUAUAACAUUUGUGUUAUUUAGAAAAUGCAAUAAGGGCACAGAUGAAGAGCAAAGUACAGUGGUAAAGAAGAGAGAGUUUGUGAGAAAGGUACAGGAGAAAAGACAUUUAUGCUGGGCUUCAAAGGAUGAGCUGACAUUUCAAUUCCCAUCCUUAGACAAAGCUAGGAAAGGCAUUUCAGCAGAAGCAAACUGAAUAAAGCCCUCGAGACCUGGAAGUGCAUGUCAUGCCCAAGAACCAUGUAAACCUGAAAGCUUUGAGAGCUAGAUAAUAUUUCACCAACUGUGGUCAUCAGAAUCACCAAUAUUUGGGGUGUUUGUUUAAUUUUUUAGCUUCCUAAACCCUAGCACAAGCCCAAUGAAGGUGGGAAGAGGAAUCUGUAUUUUAGAAGCAACCCUUUCCCCUCCAAAUUCUUCAUAGAGUGAUUGUGAUGAAUAAAGGUUGAGGACCAUCUGGUUUAGGCUGUUCUAGGCAGGGUGGAGAUGUAGGGAAGGACACACAAUAACCCUGUUACUCGGUUGUGCUGUGGUUAUGUGCCUAUACACUAUCAGACAGACUGGUCAAUUUUGUUCCAAAUAUGUUCAGUGUUAAACAGAACCCAGUAUUGUAAACUGUAAUUACAAAUUAUAAAACUUCUGUAAACAGAAGCCUACUUCUCAUACACUGAAAGAACCAAAAGGCAAGAUGCAACUGAGACCGUUUAAAAAUGGUGAAAUGUUUUCCAGACUCCAGCUACAAGGAGAAUCCUCUUUGUAAUGCUGAGUAUCAUGAUUAAAAUCUCCCACUGCUCAGCAGCACAAAACUGUCUCAAGGAGUCUCCAAAGAGAGUCAUCUCAGAGUAUCUCACAGCAGUCCUUCCAUCCUCAAGCUUGGUUGUAUCUCUACACAGGCCUACAUGAAAGCAGAGACACUGCAAACAAGACAGGGCAGAGAGCAAGCCGGGAAGUUGGUGAACUUGGAAUUUGAUGAGCUCCUUGUCUGAAACAUGAAGCUCAGACCAGAAGAACUGGAUGCUCUAGAGAGAGAUGGACCUCUCCUCAAUGGGAAUAUCAACAUCAGUACAAAUUGAUGAUUCCAGUUAAGAAACAGACAACAGUAGUCAGAGCAGCACAUAAAGCCAGAAGGAGGCAAAAUAUUGGUAGCCACUCAGAGCUAUGCGCUUUCCCAACCUGUCCUCAGAGUGAACUGUUGCUAAUUUCAGAGCCAAGUAGUAGUCCUACUACCAACCAUCCCAAUAAUUUCACAUACCAACAUCCACAAUUAAGUUACUGGUUUAUAAACCAUAAACCACAAUUUAUCUAGGGUGUUGACUUAAUGUUUUUCAGCAAAGUUUUUUCCCUAUCUAAGGUAACAUUUCUCAUAUAAUGGUCAAGGGACCCCUACCUUGAGAUUGUUAAAAUGAAGAGACUUGGGUACCUUUCACAACUCUCUGAGGUUAGGGCCCAGGAAUCUGCAUUUUCACACACUCCCUCAGAGCAUUCUCUCUCACAAGGACUUUCCCUUCAGGGAACUCCUGUUACACUCAGUACUGAAUAGUGUAAGAGUAUUUUUGUUUUCCAUUAGAAUUUUGCUAGUGGAACUUUGAUUGGCAAUAGGAAGUGGCUGGAAUAACAUAGGGAUUUUGGUCUGCAUUGCUAUCUAACUGCCUGGGUUCCCUGUGACAUGUCUCUCAGGUGUCAGGUAUCUCUAGCUCUCAGGUAUCUCUAGCUCAGCAACUUUCCCACCCUCAUCAACCUUCCCAUCCUCAAUCCACCCAACCCCACUCUCCCACAUUAAAAUCAAAGAACUUCUACUGUAAAGUCCCUGGUUAAACAAUCAUCUUCAGGUACUGUCAAAGUAAGAUAACUAAACCAGGCUCCCUCGUUGGUACCAAUCAGAUUGGGUAGGAACUGGUAUGGACAUCAAACAGAAUUGGCACAUAACCAGGUACAGUUGCAUGCAGGCCAGCAUGAAAGUAUCAGAAUAUUUGGUUAAUUGAAUUAAAAGAACCAUUGAGUUAUUCUGACAUUGUGAAAACAUAGUCAAAAUUCAGCUCUUUACAAUGCUUUUGCAUCAUUGGAGUUGAGUGCAUCAGGGAGACUGAUAAAUCAUACAUGGCUCAUAAAGACUAAGAGCAAAUCAUAAAAUAAUAGAGCUGGAAGGGAACUGAAAGAUGACCCGGUCUGGGUUUUAUUUUGCAAAUGAAACAACCAGAGCCUGCAGAGGCCUAGUGACCAAGGUCAUACAGCUCGUUAGUGGCUGAGAAUCACAAUGUCCUAACUUCUGGCUGAGGGUUUUUUUCUAUGAUGCCUCCCCUGAGACUAAAAUAAAUCCC